AUUGAACGCUGGCGGCAGGCCUAACACAUGCAAGUCGAGCGGAAACGAGUUAUCUGAACCUUCGGGGAACGAUAACGGCGUCGAGCGGCGGACGGGUGAGUAAUGCCUAGGAAAUUGCCCUGAUGUGGGGGGAUAACCAUUGGAAACGAUGGCUAAUACCGCAUAAUGCCUACGGGCCAAAGAGGGGGACCUUCGGGCCUCUCGCGUCAGGAUAUGCCUAGGUGGGAUUAGCUAGUUGGUGAGGUAAAGGCUCACCAAGGCGACGAUCCCUAGCUGGUCUGAGAGGAUGAUCAGCCACACUGGAACUGAGCACGGUCCAGCUCCUACGGGAGCAGCAGUGGAAUAGUUGCACAUGGGCGCAAGCCUGAUGCAGCCAUGCCGCGUGUAUGAA
RNAcentral lists this ribosomal RNA (391 nucleotides) under uncultured bacterium. RNAcentral describes it as "bacterial SSU rRNA". It matches the Rfam family "Bacterial small subunit ribosomal RNA", at positions 30 to 409 of the family's 1533-position model. The record is from RNAcentral.